UGUAUUAAAACCAAAAUAAUUAUUAAAACAUUAUCUGGAAAAUAUUUAGUUAACUAUAUAAGUUAUACAGUAUGCAGUAAAAUGUAGAGAGAAAUCUUUUUGAUUCAGUUUCACAUAAGAUUCAAAUUGAAUUGUGUUUUUAAUAAAAAAAUAUUGUUACAAAGAAGACACAAAUUAUUUAGGAAAAAUUAACAUCAGUAAUAAAUAAAUAAAAUAUUCUACAAUUAUAUAUAUAAUUCUAUAUGGCACAGUUGUUUUGACUUCAUACUGUUAAAAACCAGGGAUGCCAAUUGUAUGACAUCAUGAAUAAUCUACUCAUUUCAGUCCUUACGAAGUAAAAUUAAUAGGUGAUAAUGUAAAAUUUGCCUUUCUUAAAAUGUUUUUUAAUGUUUUUUUUUCUCUAAAAUUUUCAGAAGACCCCCUAGCAUAAUGGUUGUCAGCCUUUUUGACUCCAACUAUCCAUCAUGACUAUUCCAUAUCUAGAAAUCACACUUUUAAAAUUUAAAUUCAUUUAUCCAGGUUUUCCUGGUUCAAGCCUAUUUUAAUGCUUGUUUUGUCUUAAGUCAUCUUGAGGUACAUACUGAAAAUAUGUAGUUUGCACAUUUCUAUUAUAAACAAGAUUAAAUGCCCGGGCCACAAAACAAAACAGUCACCGAAAUCAGCAAGAAAAAAAUACUUUAGGUUAGAAAGACCCAGGGUCACACACACAGACAAAAACAAUGGAGGGCCCCAUUCACAGUUAGGAAAUGUGGCCAUGUUUUGAUCUACGGGCUGAGAACGGCCCUGUGCAGACUAAACAGUAGCGACCACAGCGGCCAGAGAAAAAGGGAGGAGAGGAGGGAUGGAGAAGUUUGGCACAAAUUCUAGGAACUCUGGGGGCCCCGUCCUCUCGCUCUUUCUCCUUCGGCCUUGGACUCCCGUAGAUAAAAUCACUGCGGGUCGGGGGGGGGGAGAGUAUGGGAUAAAAGAAGGGGACACAGACAGAAUGAGAGAGAGAACAAGAAAACAUAAAAAUGUGUGAGAAAAAAAAAAAAAAAAACACGGAAUGACAAGGAAACGCGCAAGCCCAUCCACGUGUUAAAACGCAUGACGCUACUGUGGCACCUUGGGAAACUGUGUGGUCUAUUAAAAAGAUAAACUGAAGUUUUAGGAAAGAUAGAAAUGGAAACAAUGUGAGAGUAUCUGAACAUUUUGACAACUAUUGAGAGAUGCUGGGGAUGUUUUUACAGAUUGGCUGCACCGAAAGUUGCGAUGAAGAAAUUAGCUAAAGAAAGGAAAUAUACAUGAUCCGGGGUCAUCUGGUCUCCAUUCUCUAUUCCAUUCUUUAAAAAUAAUAGAAAAGGUUGUGCAUAAACAGAUGUAUGAAUAUGUAUGAAAAGAUCAAUUUAUGAUUUUCAUAGGAGGUCUUAUUCAACAGAUCACUUGCACUUAAAAUACUCUGUCAUAAGUGGUCCUAAAGAUAAGAGUAAUACAUCUUUUGAAUCUGUGAAAAGUCUACUUUUAUUUGUGUGCACUCUCAAUAACAACAAAACGUUGUGCUAAAUCUUUAGUCAAGGGCAGCCCUAACAGAAUCUAUACUCUUUGGUUCUAAAUUCAAAUUGCGUAAAGUUGCUGAGUUGGAAGUCAAGUCGGUGACUGUGUAAUAUCAAAUAAAACUUCAGUUUAUUAUUUAUGUUGUGUUUUUGGCAACAAUUUAAAGGUAGGGUAGGCAACAUCGGAAAGGCUAGCAAUAGCAAGUUAGCUUUGAAAGCAUUAAAUCCCACCCUCCCUUCAGAGCGCUAUUCAAAGCAACGCCUCCUCCAAAACACAUGAACCCACACAACCAGAGCAGAGUCUGCAAAGCAUCACGAGAUGAGAGACAGUGUUAAAUUACCUCAUGUCUCAAAGCACAUCACAUUACAAUAAUAAUGAAAGUAAACAACUUGAGAUCCAACUUGUACCACCUGACUGCUGCAGAUUCAUUUUGGCAUUGAUAGUGUUGACAUAGAAACACAUAAAUCAGAGUCUGAGGACAAGAACAGCUCUGGGUAGAAUGUCACGGGUUGCCAUCUUGUAAUUACGGUUACGACAUGGCAUGAAUGCAGCAUAAGCUCAAUGUUUUUAAUUCAGGAGGAACUGUAAAAGGCGGCUGCUGUUUGUUUGUGGCACUCAGUGACUGUCUGUCUACAACUCUGCAUAGUCUUAUGGAACGCACUGAUGACGUGUGAUGUCUGUGUGAGCAGGGUGCGCGGAGAGAGUACAUCAGUUUCAGUUUGGAUCCAGCCUCUUAAGAAGACCUCAGAUGACUAAAACUUUGGAAAAGACGGCGCCAACUCCUGCGAUGACUUCAGAAGAUGCAACAUCUGGAUCAACAUGCACAUUCGCAAAUUUCUAUAUAUCCUAAUUAUUGUUAAUAUGUAAUUAAUUUUUCCAGGAGCUCUUUGCUUCUACCUUCAAUUAAAUUGCUAACAGUGAUUGUAUAUUAAUCGCCUAAAUUAUUACAUUAUUAGCUAACUGCAGUCUCCAAAUUGUAAUGUUGAUAUGCAUUCUCUGUAAAGCUGCUUUGAAACGAUAUGUAUUGUGAAAAGCGCUAUACAAAUAAAUGUGAAUUGAAUUGAAUUGAACAGUACAGGAGUGGAAUAAGUUACCUAUGGAUAUUAAAGGUUUAGUUUUAAAGUGAAAAGUUGGUUGUGAAGUUGUAUUUGUGCUGCGACAGCAUGCCAAUAUAUCCAUUGGCAAUAGUGUUGUUUUUGAAAUCAAGGAUCACAAUAGAAACAAGUUUUUUUUAAAGGGUUAGUUCACACAAAAAUGAAAACUUCAAAUUUCAAAAAAAAAAAAAAAAAAAAAAAAACACAUAAGACUUGCGCUCAUCUUCAAAACACAAAUGAAGACUUUUUAAAUGAAAUCUCAAAGAUUUCUGGCCCUCUAUGGACAGUCAGGAAAUCAACUACCACUUGCCUUUGUUGCUUCAUAAAGAGAUCGUACAACUAAUCCAUAUGAAUCGAGUGAGUUUUAACAUCUCAUUAUGAACUUUUUGAAGUGUCAAAGUGGUAGUUGCGUGGACUGCAUCUUACAUUUACAUUUAUUAAUUUAGCAGAUUCAUCUUUCAGAUUUCAUUAAAAUAUUAAAGUCUUAUGGGUUUGGAACGACAU
This is a long non-coding RNA of Ctenopharyngodon idella (grass carp), 3131 nucleotides long. RefSeq lists it as uncharacterized. Lineage: Eukaryota; Metazoa; Chordata; Actinopteri; Cypriniformes; Xenocyprididae. The transcript has 2 exons. The record is from RefSeq and is a predicted model, not a curated record.